GCCCCUAUAGUAUAAUGGUUAGUACACGUCUCUCGUAAGAACGUCGAUUACUUUAAGCAUCGCCUUGUUCGAAGAUGAGAUGGUCGUUCGAUUCGGCCUGGGGGCA
Acaromyces ingoldii is the source of this 106-nucleotide non-coding RNA. NCBI's taxonomy places the organism in Eukaryota, Fungi, Basidiomycota, Exobasidiomycetes, Exobasidiales, Cryptobasidiaceae. The record is from the annotation of a RefSeq genome assembly.